UCAGCAGUGAAGUCCUCAAGUGAGGAAUAUUAUUGGUAACCAGAGCUGCAAGAAAGCAUGUCCACGAAAUGAAGCAUAGUGUGAUACUAAUCUAGAGCAGGGCUCUUCAGAGAUUGCUGUGCACAGGAAACAUCUGGGAUCGCAUGACUGUGCAAACUCUGAUUCACUAAUUCCAGCGCCAUGGCUACUUAUUCUGCCACAUGUGCCAACAAUAGCCCUGCACAGGGCAUCAACAUGGCCAACAGCAUUGCCAACCUGAGACUGAAGGCCAAGGAAUAUAGUUUACAGAGGAACCAGGUGCCAACAGUCAACUGAGGAAAAAAAAUAAUUAAACAGGCCUAAGAAGAAAUCAAAAACCAUAA
RNAcentral lists this small RNA (362 nucleotides) under Pan troglodytes (chimpanzee). RNAcentral describes it as "processed transcript". Lineage: Eukaryota; Metazoa; Chordata; Mammalia; Primates; Hominidae. The record is from RNAcentral.